GAUCCUGGCUCAGGAUGAACGCUAGCUACAGGCUUAACACAUGCAAGUCGAGGGGCAGCAUGGUCUUAGCUUGCUAAGGCCGAUGGCGACCGGCGCACGGGUGAGUAACGCGUAUCCAACCUGCCAAUCACUUGGGAAUAACCUUGCGAAAGUAAGACUAAUGCCCAAUGAUAUCCCACGAAGGCAUCCGAAUGGGAUUAAAGAUUUAUCGGUGAUGGAUGGGGAUGCGU
RNAcentral lists this ribosomal RNA (230 nucleotides) under uncultured bacterium. RNAcentral describes it as "partial 16S ribosomal RNA". It matches the Rfam family "Bacterial small subunit ribosomal RNA", at positions 15 to 236 of the family's 1533-position model. The record is from RNAcentral.